Long non-coding RNA from Pecten maximus, 2295 nucleotides. RefSeq lists it as uncharacterized. The transcript is spliced from 3 exons. The record is from RefSeq and is a predicted model, not a curated record. Lineage: Eukaryota; Metazoa; Mollusca; Bivalvia; Pectinida; Pectinidae.
UUUUUUUUUAUUCAUAAACUUUUUUAAGAACUGAAAACGUAUAUAUAAAAAGGUAAUAAAAUAAUGUUCUGGAUUCAUAAUAAAGUUGAACAACUGUAUACUAGGUGGUAAAAUAAUUAUCAUAUAAAAAUACUGAUCAUUUACAUUUUGAUCCGACAAAAACAUUUGUAAACUGUAAUAUUACAUGGACGGCACAAUGGAGUUUUAAUGUCAUUAUUUCCUUCUAUCACACAGAACAUAAAUGUCUCAAAGACAUGUUAACAACAUUAAUUAACUUUCCAUAAAUCCCAGCAAGAUCAGGUCAGUGUAAAAAUGUGAAAAAGACACUCCUUAAAUUCAACAUUGCAACCAACCUUCAGGAAAAAACGUCUAAGACAGGAUUUUUAGCUGAAAAUUCUCAUGCUGAUAUGAAGACAAUAACAACUUUCUGUGCAAUGUCCUACGGUAUUGACAAGUACAAACAAUGUACAAUGAACCUGUGAUAAUCUAGACAGUAGUGGGGAAUCUUACAAUCCAGACAAUGCUGGACGAUAAAGAAGGUGUCCUGAUUAACGAGGGUCCACGGUAGAUUAUAUAAAUUUCCUGUGAAUUGAUCUUGUACCAUCUAUAUCGUGAGACAGGGGGAUCUCGAUCUUAGGUUGACAGACCAAUGUAUUGUUGUUUUGUCAUUAUACCAUUGUUGUGAACAGGGAAUCCCCUCUGUCUUAACCCUUGGCUGACAGCACUGGUAAAAAUGAUCACACCUGUCCAAGUUGGGGUACUGGUAAAAGUGGAUGUAUAUACCUGUCCAGGUUAAGAGAUGAGGUACUGGUAAAGUGGAUGUAUAUACCUGUCCAGGGUAAGAGUUGAGGUACUGGUAAAGUGGAUGUAUACACCUGUCCAGGGUAAGAGUUGAGGUACUGGUAAAGUGGAUGUAUAUACCUGUCCAGGUUAAGAGAUGAGGUACUGGUAAAAGUGGUUGUAUACACCUGUCCAGGUUAAGAGAUGAGGUACUGGUAAAAGUGGAUGUAUACACCUGUCCAGGGUAAGAGUUGAGGUACUGGUGAAAGUGGAUGUAUAUACCUGUCCAGGGUAAGAGAUAAUGAAAUCUCUGUAUACUAGUACAGGUUAAGAGAUGAGGUACUGGUAAAAGUGGAUGUAUACACCUGUCCAGGUUAAGAGUUGAGGUACUGGUAAAGUGGUUGUAUAUACCUGUCCAGGGUAAGAGUUGAGGUACUGGUAAAGUGGAUGUAUACACCUGUCCAGGGUAAGAGAUAAUGAAAUCUCUGUACACUAGUCCAGGUUAAGAGUUGAGGAAAAUGUCAAUACAACUGUCCAGUGUAUGAGGUGAGGAAAUCUCUCAAUGGUAAAAGGUGGAUAAAUCUCGAUACACCAAAAGAAAUACAACACAUCUUGGAGAAUGCAUGUAUAUUACGACCAAUAAUUGAAUGUAAUAACUUUCCAUAAAAUCAUAAAACCACUUAAUAAUGUCUUUGCAUAUGUAUAAAACCAGCAGUUCUGGAGUAAAAUUGCAUAGGUAUUGGAUCAAAAUAAAUAUAAUAUACACAACAACAUAUGAUCAUGAAGAAAAUCUCAAAAACUGUUACAAUGUUUUUCAACUUUGACAAGAGCUGAUUUGAAUAAUCAAUUGAUAUAUGUAAUGCAUAUUAAGUAGCCAUGGAACAUAGCACAGGGACAUGAAACAAAUUCAGAAUUCCAAGUUCCUCUGUCUGUAUAUUACAUGUAUCUGUAAAACAUGGAUAGACAGACCUUGGGGUCCCUGUGGAACAUAUGAGCUCCCUGGCGAUUGUCAUAUCUAAGUCUCUACCUAGGUUUCUGUAUAGCCAUUAUGAAGGCAUUGACAAAAUAUGAAUUUAACCAUGCAUAAACAUUAUACCAAAGGAAUUCUGAUUAUUAACAUUGCUAGAUACAUCAGGUGAUUUUUUUUUUUUUUUUUUUAAUUUACAAUAGGAAGGACUUUGUCUUCAAUAAUUGACUUUUCCUUGUAAAUAUAUAAUGAUCUACAGCUGUGAUUCGGUGUAACUUCAAAUAACGACUUUGUCUAGCACAUAUCGAUGUAAGGUUCUGGUAGAGGGUAUAGUACGAUGUAAUUCUGGUAGAAGAUACAGCACCAAAGUGACUUAGAGUAACAACUUCGCCUUGCACGUAUCGAUGUAAGGUUCUGGUAGGGGGUACAGCAUCAAAGUGACUUAGAGUAACGACUUCGCCUUGCACGUAUCGAUGUAAGGUUCUGGUAGAGGGUAAAGCGCCAGGUUCCCCUUGAAUGCUGAUACAUCAGUUAUAUGGACAGGCUGG